GGCCCCCUGGCGUAAAUGGCAGCCGCGCCGGAUUCAAGUCCCGGUGCCCAGUAUGGGUGUGCGGGUUCGACUCCCGCGGGGGCCACCA
This 88-nucleotide transfer RNA is filed under the name Mycobacteroides abscessus subsp. abscessus. RNAcentral describes it as "tRNA-Leu(caa)". It matches the Rfam family "tRNA". From Rfam's summary of the family: Transfer RNA (tRNA) molecules are approximately 80 nucleotides in length. The record is from RNAcentral. Lineage: Bacteria; Bacillati; Actinomycetota; Actinomycetes; Mycobacteriales; Mycobacteriaceae.